This 500-nucleotide ribosomal RNA is filed under the name uncultured bacterium. RNAcentral describes it as "partial 16S ribosomal RNA". It matches the Rfam family "Bacterial small subunit ribosomal RNA", at positions 30 to 523 of the family's 1533-position model. The record is from RNAcentral.
AUUGAACGCUGGCGGAAUGCUUUACACAUGCAAGUCGAACGGCAGCACGGACUUCGGUCUGGUGGCGAGUGGCGAACGGGUGAGUAAUGUAUCGGAACGUGCCCAGUCGUGGGGGAUAACGUAGUGAAGAUUACGCUAAUACCGCAUACGAUCUAUGGAUGAAAGCGGGGGAUCGCAAGACCUUGCGCGAUUGGAGCGGCCGAUAUCAGAUUAGGUAGUUGGUGGGGUAAAGGCCCACCAAGCCAACGAUCUGUAGCUGGUCUGAGAGGACGACCAGCCACACUGGAACUGAGACACGGUCCAGACUCCUACGGGAGGCAGCAGUGGGGAAUUUUGGACAAUGGGCGAAAGCCUGAUCCAGCCAUUCCGCGUGCAGGAUGAAGGCCCUCGGGUUGUAAACUGCUUUUGUACAGAACGAAAAGGUUUCUACUAAUACUAGGAGCUCAUGACGGUACUGUAAGAAUAAGCACCGGCUAACUACGUGCCAGCAGCCGCAGUAA